GGCUUCAUAGCUCAGUUGGUCGAGCAUCGCACCGGUAUCGCGGAGGUCACCGAUUCGAAUCCCGUUGAAGCCC
RNAcentral lists this transfer RNA (73 nucleotides) under Acropora cervicornis. RNAcentral's name for it is "tRNA-Thr". It matches the Rfam family "tRNA". From Rfam's summary of the family: Transfer RNA (tRNA) molecules are approximately 80 nucleotides in length. Their secondary structure includes four short double-helical elements and three loops (D, anti-codon, and T loops). Lineage: Eukaryota; Metazoa; Cnidaria; Anthozoa; Scleractinia; Acroporidae. The record is from RNAcentral.